RNAcentral lists this ribosomal RNA (477 nucleotides) under uncultured Caldilineaceae bacterium. RNAcentral's name for it is "bacterial SSU rRNA". It matches the Rfam family "Bacterial small subunit ribosomal RNA", at positions 28 to 505 of the family's 1533-position model. The record is from RNAcentral. Lineage: Bacteria; Bacillati; Chloroflexota; Caldilineae; Caldilineales; Caldilineaceae.
GAUGAACGCUGGCGGCGUGCCUAACACAUGCAAGUCGAACGUGAAGCCUCGAAUGAUUACUUCGGUUUGAUUUCUUGGUGGAAAGUGGCGAACGGGUGAGUAACACGUAGGUAACCUGCCUCGAAGUGGGGGACAACCAUUGGAAACGAUGGCUAAUACCGCAUAGUCCUGUAGAUGUGAGAACUUCUAUGGGUAAAGCUCAGGCGCUUCGAGAGGGGCCUGCGUCCGAUUAGCUUGUUGGUGGGGUAAUGGCCUACCAAGGCGACAAUCGGUAGCUGGUCUGAGAGGACGAUCAGUCACACGGGAACUGAGACACGGUCCCGACUCCUACGGGGGGCAGCAGUGAGGAAUAUUGCACAAUGGGGGAAACCCUGAUGCAGCAACGCCGCGUGGAGGAUGAAGGCUUUUGAGUCGUAAACUCCUUUUUUGAGGGAAGAGUAAGGACGGUACCUCAAGAAUAAGUCACGGCUAACUACG